CAACAACAACACUGUUUCCAGUGACUUUCAACAACUACAUCGUUUCCAGUGAAAUUCAGCAACAACUACAUUGUUUCCUAUCAUCUAGGAAUAUAAAGGCUUUGAUUUUUUUCCAGUAUAGUUUAGAUUUUCAGGGAACACUUCAACCAAGACAUCGAUGAAGCAAAGAACUUGAUUACAAGGUACAAUCAUGACUAUCAAUGCCUAGCUAUUUUUCGGACUUGACUAACACAAAGGGUGCAAUCUGUAGGUUCAGGGAGCUCCUAUGCUUUUUCCGAGCAAAGAUGACUU
Molecule: long non-coding RNA, 291 nt
Filed under: Triticum aestivum (bread wheat)
Lineage: Eukaryota; Viridiplantae; Streptophyta; Magnoliopsida; Poales; Poaceae
Description: long non-coding RNA (TAES_LNC028000)
Source: RNAcentral